RNAcentral lists this non-coding RNA (31 nucleotides) under Rattus norvegicus (Norway rat). The record is from RNAcentral. Lineage: Eukaryota; Metazoa; Chordata; Mammalia; Rodentia; Muridae.
AUCCNGAAUAGCCAGGACUAUUGUCUUAGUU